UACGGGGGGGAGCAAGCGUUGUUCGGAAUCACUGGGCUUAAAGGGCGCGUAGGCGGUCCGACAAGUCAGGGGUGAAAUCCUGCAGCUUAACUGCAGAAGUGCCUUUGAUACUGUCGGUCUCGAGGGAGAUAGGGGUGUGCGGAACUUCCAGUGGAGCGGUGAAAUGCGUAGAUAUCGAGAGGAACACCGGUGGCGAAGGCGGCUUCCUGGACCGACACUGACGCUGAGGCGCGAAAGCUAGGGGAGCAAACGGG
This 254-nucleotide ribosomal RNA is filed under the name uncultured bacterium. Its description in RNAcentral is "partial 16S ribosomal RNA". It matches the Rfam family "Bacterial small subunit ribosomal RNA", at positions 524 to 776 of the family's 1533-position model. The record is from RNAcentral.